GAUCCUGGCUCAGGAUGAACGCUAGCUACAGGCUUAACACAUGCAAGUCGAGGGGCAGCAUUUUAGUUUGCUUGCAAACUAAAGAUGGCGACCGGCGCACGGGUGAGUAACACGUAUCCAACCUGCCGAUAACUCAGGGAUAGCCUUUCGAAAGAAAGAUUAAUACCGGAUGGCAUAGGAUUAUCGCAUGAUGAUCCUAUUAAAGAAUUUCGGUUAUCGAUGGGGAUGCGUUCCAUUUAG
This 240-nucleotide ribosomal RNA is filed under the name uncultured bacterium. Its description in RNAcentral is "partial 16S ribosomal RNA". It matches the Rfam family "Bacterial small subunit ribosomal RNA", at positions 15 to 245 of the family's 1533-position model. The record is from RNAcentral.